Molecule: ribosomal RNA, 498 nt
Filed under: uncultured bacterium
Lineage: Bacteria
Description: partial 16S ribosomal RNA
Rfam family: Bacterial small subunit ribosomal RNA
Source: RNAcentral
AUUGAACGCUGGCGGCAUGCCUUACACAUGCAAGUCGAACGGUAACAGGUCUUCGGAUGCUGACGAGUGGCGAACGGGUGAGUAAUACAUCGGAACGUGCCUAGUAGUGGGGGAUAACUACUCGAAAGAGUGGCUAAUACCGCAUGAGAUCUACGGAUGAAAGCAGGGGAUCGCAAGACCUUGUGCUACUAGAGCGGCCGAUGGCAGAUUAGGUAGUUGGUGGGAUAAAAGCUUACCAAGCCGACGAUCUGUAGCUGGUCUGAGAGGACGAUCAGACACACUGGGACUGAAAAACGUCCCAGACUCCUACGGGAGGCAGCAGUGGGGAAUUUUGGACAAUGGGCGAAAGCCUGAUCCAGCAAUGCCGCGUGCAGGAUGAAGGCCUUCGGGUUGUAAACUGCUUUUGUACGGAACGAAAAGCCCCGGGUUAAUACCCUGGGGUCAUGACGGUACCGUAAGAAUAAGCACCGGCUAACUACGUGCCAGCCGCCGCAGUAA